GGUUCUGUGUUUCCGUCUGUUUUUCCCUGUUGGGCCGCCAGAUGGCAGCACUUCUGUUUUGUGUCCUGCUUGUUCCCCUGUUGGUUAAUUGUAUUAUUGCUUUCAAUUAUUUUAUUGUCUCGUUAUUUAAUCAUCGUCUCCACCUGCCUCGUUUUCCCUUCCCUCUGGUUUGAUUGUUCUUUGAGUUCACCUGUGUCCGUAACCUCCGCUCCUUCUCUCCCUCCUCUCUCGCUUCUAGUGUCACUGCCUCACUCCCCCCUCUUUAAUCCUUCUCCAACCUUCCCACUGACUCUGCAUCCUCCGCUCUGUCUUCCUCGCUCUCCUCAGCACUUGACUCUCUCUGUCCUCUAGUCUCCAGGCCGGCACGCUCGUCCCCUCCCAGUCCGUGGAUGUCUGACCCCCUCCGAACCAACCGGGCCAGCCUACUUGCAGCGGAGAGGAAAUGGAGGAAAUCCAUGGCUCAAUCAGACAGCACUCCUCCUCCCCCACCUCAGUCCUCCCUCGCUGCAGAUGACUUCGCGGCUUUCUUUGAUGAGAACAUUGCAGACAUCCGCAGCUCCUUCACAUCCACCGCCACCCUCCCCCACUCCCCCCUCUCUGUUCCCUCCCCUUGUUUCUCCACUUUCUCUCCCCUCACUGACUCUGAUGUUUCUCAGCUCCUACUCUCCCACCGCCCUACCACCUGUGCUCUUGACCCUAUCCCUUCCUCUUUCCUCCAGACUAUCACACCUGACAUCCUCCCGUUUGUCACCUCCCUUGUGAACUCCUCCUUGUCUUCUGGAUGUUUCCCCUCAUCCUUCAAGCUGGCCCACAUCACCCCACUGCUGAAAAAGCCCACUCUGGAUCCCUCCGUCAUCCAGAACUAUCGUCCUGUUUCUCUUCUACCUUUUUUAUCCAAAACAAUUGAACAAGCUGCAUCUAACCAACUCUCCUCUUUUCUCUUGCUGAACAACCUCCUAGACCCCCACCAGUCCGGCUUCAGACCUGGCCACUCGACAGAGACCGCACCUCUCGGUCAGUGAAUCGCUUCACGCUGCACAAGCAGCCUCCCAUUCGUCCGUCCUGAUCCUCCUAGACCUUUCUGCUGCCUUCGACACAGUCGACCACCCCAUCCUCCUGUCCUCCCUGGCAGCUAUGGGGAUCUGUGGCACAGCACUAGACUGGAUCGAGUCCUACCUCUCUGGUCGCUCCUUCCAAGUCGCCUGGGCUGGUGCAGUAUCGGCACCUCGCCCCCUUGCCACAGGAGUUCCCCAGGGCUCAGUCCUUGGUCCCCUCCUGUUCUCCCUGUACACCUAAUCUCUUGGUCCUGUAAUCUCUGCCUAUGGUUUGUCUUAUCAUUGUUAUGCCGAUGACACCCAACUCUUUCUCUCCUUCCCCCCCUCUGACACACAGGUCUCCGCUCGCACCUCUGCUUGCCUGAGGGACAUCCAGAGCUGGGUGGAUAACCACCAUCUUAAGCUGAACCCAGGUAAGACAGAGAUGAUCUUCAUCCCUGCUCCAUCCUCUAACCUCCUUGACCUUUCUAUUUCCUUAGGGGACACCGUGGUGUCAUCAUCACCCACUGCCAAAAACCUCGGAGUGGUGAUGGACAACAGACUGUCCCUCUCCCAGAACAUCGCGGCGGUGAGUCGAACAUGCAGGUUCUUCUUGUACAACAUCCGGAGAAUCCGUCCCUUCCUCACCACCUACGCAACCCAGCUCCUGGUUCAAGCGAUGGUGCUAUCCCGCCUGGACUACUGCAACUCUCUUCUGGCUGGACUACUGGCACCUGCCAUCAGACCCCUGCAACUCAUUCAGAAUGCUGCAGCUCGUCUGGUCUUCAACCUCCCCAGACAAUCCCAAGUCACUCCCCUGCUCACUACCCUCCACUGGCUCCCUGUUAUGGCUAGCAUCAAAUUCAAAACAUUGUUCCUAGCAUACCAGGCAGUCAAGGGAUCAGCCUCAGCAUACCUCCACAAGAUCUUCAAACCCUACAUGCCAGCCAGACCCCUCCGUUUUGCUACCUCAGGAUGCCUGGCACCUCCCCCUCUUCGCACUUGCACUUCCCGUUCACAGCUCCUGUCUGUUCUGGCCGUGCAAUGGUGGAAUGACCUUCCCGUGGAGGUCAGAACAGCUGAGACCCUGACCACCUUCAAGCGACAACUGAAGACUCACCUUUUCAGGCUGCACCUCUCCCCAUCCCUCCCUACCUCCCUGUAGUCUCUAACUGACAGUAAGCUUAGGGUUGUAGCUAGGUAGCUGUUUCUUAGUUGACUUAAUUAUUGCACUCGUGUCUUCUCAACUAUUGCUUGUAUUGUUUGCAUAGACUGCGUUGUUGCUGUUUUUGUUUGUGUUAAUCAGAUUAACCUACAGGGUCCAAGUUAAACUACACGGUCAUUCCCUGCACUUGGAACUGUACUUCCCUCUAGGGUUUUCAACACACUUGUUCCUGGUUUUGGUUAUACACUUUGUUGUACGUUGCUCUGGAUAAGAGCGUCUGCCAAAUGCCUGUAAUGUAAUGUAAUGUAACAUGUGAAUACUUUUAAUUAUUGAUACAUUUGAGUAUUUACUCAUUUAAAAUAUUGGACACAAGAGACUGUAGGCCACAUCUGUUCCUGUAAAAGUGAGGACUAAUUAAAUGAACUCAUUAAACACCAAACAGUAUUAAGUAAUGUGAACUACAACUUUAUGUGUUGCCUUUGCAUGCCAGUUCUGUGCUGUAUGUGAAUAUUGUGCAUCAGAAACACAUACAGUCACUGUUUUUAAACAUGUAUCUUUGUGAGAAAAAACAGAAUGUGAGGAAUUGUUUUUUUAUAAUUCAAACAGCAGGGGGCAGCAUUGAUUAAAAAAUGUUUUGCUCUUG
Long non-coding RNA from Anguilla rostrata (American eel), 2842 nucleotides. RefSeq lists it as uncharacterized. The record is from RefSeq and is a predicted model, not a curated record. The transcript is spliced from 2 exons. Lineage: Eukaryota; Metazoa; Chordata; Actinopteri; Anguilliformes; Anguillidae.